GGGAAUCUGCCCCUUGGUUCGGAAUAACAGUUAGAAAUGACUGCUAAUACCGGAUGAUGACGUAAGUCCAAAGAUUUAUCGCCAUGGGAUGAGCCCGCGUAGGAUUAGCUAGUUGGUGUGGUAAAGGCGCACCAAGGCGACGAUCCUUAGCUGGUCUGAGAGGAUGAUCAGCCACACUGGGACUGAGACACGGCCCAGACUCCUACGGGAGGCAGCAGUGGGGAAUAUUGGACAAUGGGCGCAAGCCUGAUCCAGCAAUGCCGCGUGAGUGAUGAAGGCCUUAGGGUUGUAAAGCUCUUUUACCCGUGAUGAUAAUGACAGUAGCGGGAGAAUAAGCCCCGGCUAACUCCGUGCCAGCAGCCGCGGUAAUACGGAGGGGGCUAGCGUUGUUCGGAAUUACUGGGCGUAAAGCGCACGUAGGCGGCUUUGUAAGUUAGAGGUGAAAGCCUGGAGCUCAACUCCAGAACUGCCUUUAAGACUGCAUCGCUUGAAUCCAGGAGAGGUGAGUGGAAUUCCGAGU
This 520-nucleotide ribosomal RNA is filed under the name uncultured bacterium. Its description in RNAcentral is "bacterial SSU rRNA". It matches the Rfam family "Bacterial small subunit ribosomal RNA", at positions 120 to 674 of the family's 1533-position model. The record is from RNAcentral.